UACAGAGGCCUCGAGCGUUAAUCGGAAUCACUGGGCUUAAAGCGUACGUAGGCGGACGCGUAGGCAUCGUGUGAAAUCCCCCGGCUCAACCGGGGAACUGCACGGUGAACCGCGCGUCUUGAGGCAAGUAGAGGCGGUCGGAACGCUAGGUGGAGCGGUGAAAUGCGUAGAUAUCUAGCGGAACGCCGAAGGUGAAAACAGGCCGCUGGGCUUGUUCUGACGCUGAGGUACGAAAGCGUGGGGAGCAAACGGG
Molecule: ribosomal RNA, 253 nt
Filed under: uncultured bacterium
Lineage: Bacteria
Description: partial 16S ribosomal RNA
Rfam family: Bacterial small subunit ribosomal RNA
Source: RNAcentral